This 250-nucleotide ribosomal RNA is filed under the name uncultured bacterium. RNAcentral describes it as "partial 16S ribosomal RNA". It matches the Rfam family "Bacterial small subunit ribosomal RNA", at positions 524 to 765 of the family's 1533-position model. The record is from RNAcentral.
UACAGGGGGGGCGAGCGUUAUUUAACACAAUUGGGCGUAAAGGGUACGUAGGUUGUUGCAUAAGUUCUCUCCUAAAGACUGAGGGAUUAACUCCCACAGGGAUUGAGAGAACACGUGGUCGGACUAUAGAGUAAUUUAGGUCGUUGUUGGAAUUUUCGGAAGAGGGCUAAAAUGCGAAAAAACCUUAAGGAACACUGCAAGUGAAAGUGUAUGACGCCAUCUUACUGACGCUUAGGUACGAAGGCAUUGG